GGGCGCUUAGCUCAGUUGGCUAGAGCGCCGCCUUUACACGGCGGAAGUCGCUGGUUCGAGUCCAGUAGCGCCCA
This 74-nucleotide transfer RNA is filed under the name Planctomycetota bacterium. RNAcentral describes it as "Planctomycetes bacterium (bioreactor metagenome) tRNA-Val". It matches the Rfam family "tRNA". Rfam says of the family: Transfer RNA (tRNA) molecules are approximately 80 nucleotides in length. Their secondary structure includes four short double-helical elements and three loops (D, anti-codon, and T loops). The record is from RNAcentral. Lineage: Bacteria; Pseudomonadati; Planctomycetota.